UUUUACAGUAACUAAAAACGACAAAAUUGGAACGAUACAGAGAAGAUUAGCAUGGCCCCAGCGCAAGGAUGACACGCACAAAUCGAGAAAUGGUCUAAAUUUUC
Molecule: small nuclear RNA, 104 nt
Filed under: Brassica oleracea var. oleracea
Lineage: Eukaryota; Viridiplantae; Streptophyta; Magnoliopsida; Brassicales; Brassicaceae
Source: RNAcentral